This 253-nucleotide ribosomal RNA is filed under the name uncultured bacterium. Its description in RNAcentral is "partial 16S ribosomal RNA". It matches the Rfam family "Bacterial small subunit ribosomal RNA", at positions 524 to 776 of the family's 1533-position model. The record is from RNAcentral.
UACGGGGGGAGCAAGCGUUGUUCGGAUUUACUGGGCGUAAGGGGCGCGUAGGCGGCGUGACUAGUCACUUGUGAAAUCUCCGGGCUUAACUCGGAACGGUCAAGUGAUACUGUCGUGCUAGAGUACAGAAGGGGCAACUGGAAUUCUCGGUGUAGCGGUGAAAUGCGUAGAUAUCGAGAGGAACACCUGCGGCGAAGGCGGGUUGCUGGGCUGAUACUGACGCUGAUGCGCGAAAGCCAGGGGAGCGAACGGG